RNAcentral lists this ribosomal RNA (273 nucleotides) under uncultured bacterium. RNAcentral's name for it is "partial 16S ribosomal RNA". It matches the Rfam family "Bacterial small subunit ribosomal RNA", at positions 524 to 796 of the family's 1533-position model. The record is from RNAcentral.
AACGUAGGAGCCAAGCGUUAUCCGAAUUCACUGGGCGUAAAGCGCGUGCAGGCGGUAUGGCAAGUUGGAUGUGAAAUCUCCCGGCUCAACUGGGAGAGGCCGUUCAAUACUGCCAAACUAGAGGGCGACAGAGGGAGGUGGAAUUCCGGGUGUAGUGGUGAAAUGCGUAGAUAUCCGGAGGAACACCAGAGGCGAAGGCGACCUCCUGGGUCGUACCUGACGCUCAGACGCGAAAGCUAGGGGAGCAAACGGGAUUAGAUACCCCCGUAGUCC